This 741-nucleotide ribosomal RNA is filed under the name Acinetobacter sp. RNAcentral's name for it is "bacterial SSU rRNA". It matches the Rfam family "Bacterial small subunit ribosomal RNA", at positions 56 to 789 of the family's 1533-position model. Lineage: Bacteria; Pseudomonadati; Pseudomonadota; Gammaproteobacteria; Moraxellales; Moraxellaceae. The record is from RNAcentral.
UGCAGUCGAGCGGAGCGAGGGUGCUUGCACCUUACCUUAGCGGCGGACGGGUGAGUAAUGCUUAGGAAUCUGCCUAUUAUUGGGGGACAACAUUCCGAAAGGAAUGCUAAUACCGCAUACGUCCUACGGGAGAAACCAGGGGAUCUUCGGACCUUGCGCUAAUAGAUGAGCCUAAGUCGGAUUACCUAGUUGGUGGGGUAAAGGCCUACCAAGGCGACGAUCUGUAGCGGGUCUGACAGGAUGAUCCGCCACACUGGGACUGACACACGGCCCAUACUCCUACGGGAGGCAUCAGUGGGGAAUAUUGGACAAUGGGGGGAACCCUGAGCCAGCCAUGCCGCGUGUGUGAAGAAGGCCUUUUGGUUGUAAAGCACUUUAAGCGAGGAUGAGGCGCUCUAGGAUAAUACCCUAGAUGCGUGGACGUUACUCCCAGAAUAAGCCCCGGCUAACUCUGUGCCAUCACUCGCGGUAAUACAGAGGGUGCGAGCGUUAAUCGGAUUUACUGGGCGUAAAGCGCGCGUAGGUGGCUAAUUAAGUCGAAUGUGAAAUCCCCGAGCUUAACUUGGGAAUUGCAUUCUAUACUGGCUAUCUAGAGUAUGGGACAGGAUGGUAGAAUUCCAGGUGUAACGUCGAAAUGCGUAGAGAUCUGGAGGAAUACCGAUGAGCGAAGGCAGCCAUCUGGCCUAAUACUGAGACUGAUGUGCGAAAGUGAUGGGGCGAAAACAUGGAUUAUAUACCCUG